RNAcentral lists this ribosomal RNA (138 nucleotides) under uncultured eukaryote. RNAcentral's name for it is "partial 18S ribosomal RNA". It matches the Rfam family "Eukaryotic small subunit ribosomal RNA", at positions 1299 to 1458 of the family's 1831-position model. The record is from RNAcentral.
UGGUGGAGUGAUUUGUCUGCUUAAUUGCGAUAACGAACGAGACCUUAACCUGCUAAAUAGUCAGGCCAGCUUCGGCUGGUCGCAGGCUUCUUAGAGGGACUAUCGGCUUCAAGCCGAUGGAAGUUUGAGGCAAUAACA